AUGGCUAAGAUCAAGUCUCGGGACCUUCACGGGAAGGAGAAAGAGUUGCUGCUCAAACAGCUGGACGACCUGAAGGUGGAGCUGUCCCAGCUGCGCAUCGCCACUGACAGGCGGCGCGGUCUCCAAGCUCUCUAAGAUCCGUGUCAUCCACAAUUCCAUUGCCCGUGUUCUCACCGUAAUUAACCAGACUCACACAAAGAAAACCUCAGGAAAUUCUACAAGGGCAAGAGGUACAAGCCCCUGGACCUGCGGCCUGAGAAAACAUGCGCCUGCGCCACUGGCCCAGCAAGCACGAGGAGAACCUGAAGACCAAGCAGCAGCCGCGGAAGGAGCGGCCGUACCCGCUGCAGAAGUACACAGUGAACGCCUGA
Molecule: long non-coding RNA, 371 nt
Filed under: Homo sapiens (human)
Lineage: Eukaryota; Metazoa; Chordata; Mammalia; Primates; Hominidae
Description: non-protein coding lnc-POPDC3-2:1
Source: RNAcentral